This 500-nucleotide ribosomal RNA is filed under the name uncultured Corynebacterium sp. RNAcentral's name for it is "bacterial SSU rRNA". It matches the Rfam family "Bacterial small subunit ribosomal RNA", at positions 410 to 917 of the family's 1533-position model. The record is from RNAcentral. Lineage: Bacteria; Bacillati; Actinomycetota; Actinomycetes; Mycobacteriales; Corynebacteriaceae.
GACGGCCUUCGGGUUGUAAACUCCUUUCGCUAGGGACGAAGCUUUUUGUGACGGUACCUAGAUAAGAAGCACCGGCUAACUACGUGCCAGCAGCCGCGGUAAUACGUAGGGUGCGAGCGUUGUCCGGAAUUACUGGGCGUAAAGGGCUCGUAGGUGGUUUGUCGCGUCGUCUGUGAAAUUCCGGGGCUUAACUCCGGGCGUGCAGGCGAUACGGGCAUAACUUGAGUACUGUAGGGGUAACUGGAAUUCCUGGGGUAGCGGUGAAAUGCGCAUAUAUCAGGAGGAACACCGAUGGCGAAGGCAGGUUACUGGGCAGUUACUGACGCUGAGGAGCGAAAGCAUGGGUAGCGAACAGGAUUAGAUACCCUGGUAGUCCAUGCCGUAAACGGGGGGCGCUAGGUGUGAGGGUCUUUUCACGACUUUCGUGCCGUAGCUAACGCAUUAAGCGCCCCGCCUGGGGAGUACGGCCGCAAGGCUAAAACUCAAAGGAAAUUGACGGA